This 423-nucleotide ribosomal RNA is filed under the name uncultured bacterium. RNAcentral describes it as "bacterial SSU rRNA". It matches the Rfam family "Bacterial small subunit ribosomal RNA", at positions 355 to 775 of the family's 1533-position model. The record is from RNAcentral.
UAAGGAAUAUUGGGCAAUGGACGAGAGUCUGACCCAGCCAUGCCGCGUGAAGGAUGAAGGUCCUCAGGAUUGUAAACUUCUUUUAUCUGGGACGAAAAAAGGCUAUUAUUAGUCACUUGACGGUACCAGAGGAAUAAGCACCGGCUAACUCCGUGCCAGCAGCCGCGGUAAUACGGAGGGUGCAAGCGUUAUCCGGAUUUACUGGGUUUAAAGGGUGCGUAGGCGGGUAGGUAAGUCAGUGGUGAAAUCUUCAAGCUUAACUUGGAAAUUGCCGUUGAUACUAUUUAUCUUGAAUAUCGUUGAGGUUUGCGGAAUAUGUCAUGUAGCGGUGAAAUGCUUAGAGAUGACAUAGAACACCUAUUGCGAAGGCAGCAGGCUAAACGAACAUUGACGCUGAGGCACGAAAGCGUGGGGAUCAAACAG